UGAAGGCGGCAGAGAUAAGAGGGGAACGAGGGGGCUGGAGAGGAAGACUGUGUCCCCUCGAGGUGAGAGUGGAGCAGACGUCAAAUGUUUGAUUACGUGAGUGGGAAGGUUGUCUCCUGAAUUCACAGACACUCCGGCCAGUUCGGUUCGCUGAGCACCUAACACAUUAGUGGAUGGACUACAGUCAGCAGACUGACUGGGUUUGAUAUCUGGAAUCUGGUCCAAGAAACUGCCAGACGUGAGAAAACAGGACACUUUUGUCCAAAGAGAGCAACAACCAGGGGACUUUAUGAUGACGUUUACACUCACUGGCUUGCAUGAGCUGACCCUGACGACCAAACACCUGAGAGAAGGGGCUCCGGCUGCAGGUGAGCAUCUCCUCCAUGGCUGAGCUCCUCUGGGAGGGGAAAAGGUCCUUCGUCUUCAGAAAGAGAAAGUGAACUGAGGGUCAGCCUCCGAGCGUGGAGAAGGUCGGCUGUUACACUGGAGCAAUCCUCUCCUCUCACUCUUUCAGCUGACUGCUAAUUUGCCUUUGAAGCCACCUCACGACCUCUCCUACGCCUUUCCCAGGGCUGUCAUUUGCUUUUUUUUUUUUUUUUUUUUUUGCAGCUGCUUCCCCCGCUGACUGCAGAUCAGUCCUCCGUUGUCGUUGCCUCAGAUGCCGUCAGAGUUGUUGCUGCUCCUCAGCUGAUGGGAGAUCUGUGUUGGGUUGCUCACAGCCUGCUCAUUAGUGCUCCAGUGUGGCGCUGCUUCAGACAGAGAGCACAGCAAACACAGCAUGAACAAAGCAAGAGAGAGAGUGGGAGAGAGAGAGAGAGAGGGAUGAGGAGAAGAAGCCUGCUGCAGAGAGAAGACAGACUCUCUCCCCUGACAAAAGUGAGAAUAGAGAUGACUGUGUGUGCAUGUGUGAAAGUGUGUGUAUAGCCACUUUUAACAUUAUACUGCUGCUGCUGCUGCUGCUGCUGCUGCUGCUUGUAGUUGAGGGCUGUGGUUUCCCCAUUCUCUUUUAUCUCUCUCUUUUUAAUCCAAUCCCACUCAUCUGUGGUAAUUUGACAGACAUAGAUGUUGUGAAAUUGACAAGACGCACAAGAGUGUAAGGAUGAUAACAUCUGUCUGUCAGGGUGCUGUUGAAUAUAUGCUGCAAACACAUACCAGCGUGCUCUGGUGCGGCCCGAGGUCUGUUCAUUCACUUUCAUACAUUUUAGAUGGAAGCUUGGAAGUCACACAUAGAAAACAAAAAAAGAACUCACAGUUCCUCCUAAACACGAGCGCCAUAUAGAACAUAGAGACGAACUGAAAAUUAAUAGAAGCAAUCAUGACAUUGUUGAGCAGUUGCAGGUAAGGAUGGAUUGGGAUUUUUCCCUGCUCAAUUGAAUACAGGUCUCUCACCUGUCAUUCUGUCUGUGCAGUUACAUUUUUAUGCGUCAUUCACCUCAGCCAUUACGUUUUCUCCCUUUUCUCCUCUUCUCUGUGACCCACUGUGUUUGAUUCCUAAAUCCAACCUAAAUUUCCUUCAGGAUUAUAAAGUUUAACUUAUUUCUUAUUUAUUCUCUCUCUCUCUCUCUCUCUCUCUCUCUCUCUCUCUCUCUCCUCCUUACUCUCCUACAUGAGGAUUGUUUUCCAAAUAUAGACGGGGAAGUCUGAUCCUGCAUCUCUCUGUCUCUCACUCACACACAAAACAGUCAGGUGUAUGCAGGUUGUAUGCAGCACUUUGUGCUUGUGCAGACAAAAAAUAGCACAUUCGUGAAUCCCCCUCAAAGCAAAACAGGAAUUGUGAAGAAAAAAACUCAACCACGGACACAAAAACCAGUUUCAAACUAAAGGGGCCAGUGGAUCAUUAAAAAUGGAUCUGCAUCCUUUAUUAAUGUCCUCAUUACCAUGUCUGUUCUGGUUCCACAUGAACAGCAUGCAGAAAGGGAAGAAGAGAAUUGUAAAAACUACUUUAUCCCUAUAUCCUGUUGGUAAUAUUGUUCCCACAGAAUGCUGCUUGGAGAGGGUUAGUUACCUUUAUAAUGCCAGAAUUAGUCUUUGCUUUGAACUCAGUCUUACAUAAGUUAUUGGAGGAAGCAAAUUAGCUGUUAUACAAGGUCUCCAAGCCUUCAAUAUUCAAAUAUUUGAAUUUUCUUUAACUAGAGAACUUCUAUUGAGACUUCUAGGCGUCUGCUUUUCGGGGGACAUCUGCCCCAAACUGUUUCUGACUACACCAAAAAAAAAAAAACCCAACACAACAUGCAUUUAAAAUUGACGUUCGGUUCAGUAAAGAGUUCAUUUUGCUACUAAAAGAACAUCGAUGUCACAUCAGCCAGAAGAAGCAGUGUGUGGUGUGACACCUCUCUGUCUUCACAGAUCCCUGUCAUCAUCAUCAUCAUGCACUGUUCACCUGCACAUGGAAACUUAACCUCACCUCCAGGUGACACAAUACAUCAUUCAAACUCUACCAGUCUUUGUGCCUGGUAGAGUUUGUCCUGUACCUGUUUUCUCUUUUCGACAAAACAGGACAGACCCUGCAGCUCACCGAGGGGAAGAAAUAUGUCUCACGCUAUGUUACUGGUUAUAGUUCAGUAUUAAUAUUGUUUAUCAAACUUUCAAUAAAGAUGAAGAAACGAAUGAGAAGAUCAAAGGUUUCUCCUCAGACUUCUGGGAUUGAUGUUUUUGUUUUCGAUCAUCUCUGAUCGUGUGUCCUCUCCUCUCAUCAUAACUUCCUUUGAGAAUUCAACAUGGCCCUGGGCUAAGAUCCUCAGCUGUGUUGAGCAUACAAAUGCAGCCUUGCAGUUUGAAGUUAUUGCUGAGCUUGUGAGCUCUGGGAGAUCUUGUACCUUAGGGCUGUGGUUUCUCUCUCUAGGUUCACUGGCACAACUCCAUACUAAAAAUCAACUGCCAGGCACUGCUGCUGCUUAAAGCACCUGAAUGUUUAUCCCUUAUUCCCAGAGACUGUAAUUAGACUUCUUUUUUUUUUUUGAUAUUCAUAAUUACUUAAAGGGCAUCAGGGUGUGUUAAAAGCCUUUAUACACACCUGCAACUAGUCGUAAGGGAAUACAGUAUCUGACAGCUUCUGGUUUUCCUCAGUUCAACUACAAAACAUGUUGCAACAUGCUCUCAAAACCUUGUGUGUUCAGUUUGAGCAGAAUUGCAGUUUGCUGGAGCCUUUCACACACGUCUAAGAGAAAAUAAAGCUCCAAACCACUUGUGUUGAUUUGUCACAAAAAGCACUAAAAGCCUCUGAGCGGUGAAAAUAUAAGCUUCACCAGAGGGAGAACAAACCCACAAGCCUUUACGUAACAGCAGAGCAGACUGAACAAGCUUGCUUCACCUGCUGUUGCCGAGUCGUGUGCAUCUGCAUUUUAUUAGUGUUGGCUAUAGCUAUGACACAAGGGGAUGGGGAGAAUUACAGUGAUUUGUCAGUCACAGACUGAUGUACGGCACAGCUACUGUUUCUGGUAAUACUGAAGAAUCAAAAAAAAAAAAAAGAUCUUUCCCCUGGACCCUUAUGUUAUUUGCCUGCAUCAAAUAAAAGAUUCUGCAUAACUGCCAAAAUUCCAAUUAAAUUCAUGCCCACUGUGCUGCAUGUUGAUGAUCAAUUAUACUCAGGCAGAGAUUACUUUUUGUCUGUUAUUGUUUGAUUGAGAGAGCGUGCUGACACAGGCCAGCACUUGGACCUGGUCUCUACAGGCAGGAGAAGCUGUUGCCUUUCUGUGGGUAAGGAUUAAUUUUGAGGAAGAUUAAAGUCAACAGCCAUGUUUUAUUUAAAUGGGGGUGAAUUGGCCUAUCAAAGCUUCUGCCAUUCAAAGAUGUCUUAUGUUGGUAAAAAUAUUCAUUUCUAUGCUGUACUAUACAAGUGCUCCCACUCAAGCACGAUAUUUAAAGAUACCCUGUGGAUAUUUUCACUACUCAUAGCUACAGCACAAUGUUUAUAUCAGUGGGUCUGUUUCAAUGGUUUCGCACUCAGACCUCCUCUGAUUUACACGUUUUAACAUGUUUGUUACACACAAAGCACAUGCAGUAACUGAAUGUAAAUAUAACUUUGUUUACAAAAAAACACUUCCUAUGUACAGGUUAAACAAAUGAGAUACAAUGUGUAGCUUUAGAGGCAUUGCACCCUUUGAGUUUUGGACUUAUACUAAAUAAAUCUUUUAAAAAUGA
Molecule: long non-coding RNA, 4140 nt
Organism: Seriola aureovittata
Lineage: Eukaryota; Metazoa; Chordata; Actinopteri; Carangiformes; Carangidae
Exons: 3
Source: RefSeq, a predicted model, not a curated record